CCUACGGGAGGCAGCAGUGGGGAAUAUUGGGCAAUGGGCGAAAGCCUGACCCAGCGACGCCGCGUGAGGGACGAAGGCCUUCGGGUUGUAAACCUCUUUCAGCAGGGAAGAAGCGAAAGUGACGGUACCUGCAGAAGAAGCACCGGCUAACUACGUGCCAGCAGCCGCGGUAAUACGUAGGGUGCAAGCGUUGUCCGGAAUUAUUGGGCGUAAAGAGCUCGUAGGUGGUUUGCCACGUCGGAUGUGAAAACCUGAGGCUUAACCUCAGGCCUGCAUUCGAUACGGGCAGACUAGAGUGUGGUAGGGGAGACUGGAAUUCCUGGUGUAGCGGUGAAAUGCGCAGAUAUCAGGAGGAACACCGGUGGCGAAGGCGGGUCUCUGGGCCAUAACUGACACUGAGGAGCGAACGCGUGGGGAGCAAACAGGAUUAGAUACCCUGGUAGUCCACGCCGUAAACGGUGGGCACUAGAUGUGGGGACCUUCCACGGUCUCUGCGUCGCAGCUAACGCAUUAAGUGCCCGCCUGGGGAGUCGGCCGCAAGGCUAAACUCAAAUGAAUUGACGG
RNAcentral lists this ribosomal RNA (564 nucleotides) under uncultured bacterium. RNAcentral describes it as "bacterial SSU rRNA". It matches the Rfam family "Bacterial small subunit ribosomal RNA", at positions 338 to 916 of the family's 1533-position model. The record is from RNAcentral.